UACGUAGGGUGCGAGCGUUAAUCGGAAUUACUGGGCGUAAAGCGUGCGCAGGCGGUUUUGUAAGACAGAGGUGAAAUCCCCGGGCUUAACCUGGGAAUUGCGAUGGUGACUGCAAGGCUAGAGUUUGGCAGAGGGGGGUAGAAUUCCACGUGUAGCAGUGAAAUGCGUAGAGAUGUGGAGGAACACCGAUGGCGAAGGCAGCCCCCUGGGUCAAAACUGACGCUCAUGCACGAAAGCGUGGGGAGCAAACAGG
This 253-nucleotide ribosomal RNA is filed under the name uncultured bacterium. Its description in RNAcentral is "partial 16S ribosomal RNA". It matches the Rfam family "Bacterial small subunit ribosomal RNA", at positions 524 to 776 of the family's 1533-position model. The record is from RNAcentral.